Molecule: non-coding RNA, 881 nt
Organism: Pelobates cultripes (western spadefoot toad)
Lineage: Eukaryota; Metazoa; Chordata; Amphibia; Anura; Pelobatidae
Source: the annotation of a GenBank genome assembly
UUUCAAAGGGAUUUUAGAGACUUUCAGGAAGGCAAUAUCUUUAAAAAUAAAAACAAACGAAACUUUAGAAAUAGAAAUGUGGGCAAAGGGUUUUCUUCCUCUGAGGAAACCGAAUGGUCUGACUCUGAAACACACUGGCGUCAGAACAAAAGACCCGGGUUUAAUAGAAACAAUUAUAAAUCUCCCACUGGUCAAACUAGAGGUAUCCUUAGAAACACCGAAAAAAAUAUUUCCUUUGCAGGCCCUCCCCUUGUAACUGUGUCAGACUCCAGUUCCAGACAAGAAACUUCGUCAGGUUCGUCCCAAUCGUCUUUGACUUUUUUAGACCAGGACUGGCCCCAACCACAGCGAGAACGACUCAGAGACAGGAAAAAAUGGGGCUACAAGACACACAAGUCCAACUACCAAUGACUAAUGCCCUACAGGAAAAUAAAAUAAUAAACCUGUCCAACUUUGUUUUAAAAUCCAGACAUGUCUCUCUUCUACAAAAAGGGUUAUCUUUUGUACCCACACCCUCUAGGAAUAUGUUUAAUUGGGCUAAGGAUGUGAAUCUUUUUGGCCGAAAAUUAGCCUUGCAUGCAUUUCAUGAAAAAAGAAACCUUAGAACCCUCAAGGAAUUAGGCCACCCCCCAGAGGAUAAUGCAAUAUAUAGACUUCUUACAGACCUAUAUUCAGAACAAGAAAAGCUAGAAUCACUAACAGAUUGUAAACCACCCAGUUGGUUCACUCCCAAUCUAAAAGAUUUCCCAUGUAUUGAUCUAUUUGUUCAGAUCUGUACAAAAGAACUAGAAUGUCAACAUACCCAACAGUCUCUAACCCCUAAUCUAAAGGCAGAAGAGAGACAGGCUUUACAAGAAUUGCAAUCUGCAACGGAAGUGGAG